RNAcentral lists this ribosomal RNA (253 nucleotides) under uncultured bacterium. RNAcentral describes it as "partial 16S ribosomal RNA". It matches the Rfam family "Bacterial small subunit ribosomal RNA", at positions 524 to 776 of the family's 1533-position model. The record is from RNAcentral.
UACGAAGGGGGCUAGCGUUGCUCGGAAUGACUGGGCGUAAAGGGCGCGUAGGCGGUGAACACAGUUAGGCGUGAAAUUCCCGGGCUCAACCUGGGGGCUGCGUUUAAUACAUGUUCGCUUGAGUUCGGAAGAGGGUCGUGGAAUUCCCAGUGUAGAGGUGAAAUUCGUAGAUAUUGGGAAGAACACCGGUGGCGAAGGCGGCGACCUGGUCCGAUACUGACGCUGAUGCGCGAAAGCGUGGGGAGCAAACGGG